This 9832-nucleotide long non-coding RNA is filed under the name Sus scrofa (pig). RNAcentral describes it as "lncRNA (ENSSSCG00030033116.1)". The record is from RNAcentral. Lineage: Eukaryota; Metazoa; Chordata; Mammalia; Artiodactyla; Suidae.
CUUCCUAAUACCCCUUCCCUAGCCCUUUUUGGUGCAACAACGUACCCCACGGGGACGGUGAUCUUACUGCACUUGAGAGAAAGAGAGAGUCCUCAAAGAAACAGCAAAGGCCAGAGACAAGGCCUGGGCGUGGAUGGGGGAUGCAGACCCUCCCUGGUAACAAGAGAAGGGCAAACUCCAACCGCAGGGAGGUGAUGCCACUUGUGGGCUCUCAGAUUGGAGAGGAGCGAGCUGAGUGACGGGGCCUCGCGCGCUGCUGGGUGGCGGGGGAAAUCGUGCGUGCGGAGGUGGAGGGGAGGGUCCUGUUGAACUCCCCGCCAGCCCGGGGGCGGAGAGGGGGCUGUCGGAGGGCGAGCUCGGCGGUGACGCUGGGCGGUCACGUGACCGGGAGCUGCAGAGCGACGCAGCCUUCGGUGCAGUCGUCACUCCUGCCUGGAUACCAGCUCCCCGCUACCCUGCGCACGGCGGGCUGGCUUCGGGCCCGGGGAAGCGGAGCAGGUAAGGGCCUCGCGCGCGCCGCGGCCAGGGCGGCAGCAGACCGCCGACCCAGAGGGGCGGGUUCGGGGGUGGGGGACAAAGCGGGCUCAAGUUCCCGUACCCUGCGCUUGGAUUCUCCAGAGCCCUCCUCCUCCUGCCUACGUCUGUGCUGGGGAACCGUGGGCUUUGACAGGGCAGAUGGUGGGGGGAGUGUCUCAAGAGGGAAAUACAGAGAUUAAGAUGCUCCAUCCUUUCUGACUGUAAUCACCGACCACACACGUCCGCUCCGCUUCCUGCUGCUUUCAGUAGAAGGGACAGGCCACAGUGGCGUUUGCAGAGAAAAUGGUGGGCCUUGGCGACUGGACGGCGGGGUUGGUGCGGGUGGCGGUCUCACAAUAUGGGCAGGGACGUUUGAUAACCGGGUUCCUAAAUCCAGGAAAGCGAGUAUUGAGAUUUGUGUCCUGGCUGCUGAUUCAAGCACUCAGCGCCUUUACUCUCUCCUGUCUGACGACAGUCGUUCGGUGUGGCACUGUUGGUGGUGAGGCGAGGGAGGAAGUCGAGGAGAAAACUGCACAGGAUCAGCGGAGAUCUUCCCAUAGGCCCACAGUAGGGCUGUUUACCCCCUGAAAGCACGAGAAAGUGGGAGACGGGCCCGGAACCCUGGAGGUUGGUGCGAAGGUGGGCAGCGCCUGGGUAUAACAAGAGAGGGUCUGCCUGCAGGUCUGAAAGGUUUGAGAUCACUGGACACAAAGAAACAAGGAGGAAAUUAUUCCCAAAUGAUAUAGACUGGUUCACAGAUCUCAUGAGAGAAGGAAAGAGGAGGGAACUACCUUGACCAUUGCAGGUCCACCUCCAGUGGCAGCUGUAGUGGCCUCUGAGUGGCUGAAGACCAGCGCCCUCACAGGCCUACACCCAGACCUACUACUACCCUUUUUUCCCAGCCUGAUUGAGCCCCUCUAUACCUUGUUCGUGCCAUCAGCAGGGGUGAUUACAUGGGUCGUGUUCAGGAAGUGGGCUGGGUGACUGCAGGACUGAUGAUUUGGGCUGGUACCUGCUACUACAUUUACAGAUUAACCAAGGGAAGAGCCCAGGGUGUGAGGAGACUUGCCAGAAAUGGGCCCAGAGUCAAGAUGGAGAAUAUGGUUGGGAUACAGAACCAGACCAUGGCCAUGUGUGAAGCCGUGGCUGGGACAAAGAUUGAGACUAGACCCAAGCCCAAUACUGGAGCAGAAACUGGAGCUGGAGGUAGGGCUGGGGCUGAAGUCGAGACUAAGGCCACUGCUAAAGCCAGAACCCAAGCCAACUCUCAAGCCAAGGCAAUGGCUGAGGCAGAGACAGAGACCCAAUCUGAGGCCACAACAAUGGCUGAAACAGUGGUCAUGACAGAGGCAGUGACUCUGACUGAGGCUGAAGCCUAUGAUGUGGCUAUGAAAGAGGCAGUAACUCAAACUGACUCUGAGGCUGGGAGACUAGUCAAGAAAGAGGCAGUGACCCAGACAAAAGCUAAAGCUUGGGCACUUGUUGCUAGGGCAGAGACCAAGAAAGAAGCAAUGACCCAGACCAAAGCAGAAACUCGUAUAUUGGCUGAAAAAGAGAAAGAGGUGAACAGAGUAAUGGUGACACAGAAUGAGGCCUUGGCAGUAACCGGGGAAAUGGUCAUGAUGGGUGCCAUAAACAAGAUUGGAAUUGUGGCUGAGACCAAGGCAAGAGCCUGGGAAGAGACUGUGAGUGUGGCCAAGACUCAGUCUGAGGCCAGGUCUGGUACCACAGUUGAUGCUAAGGGAAAUCCUAAUACCAUGGCCAAAGCAGAAACUGGAACAGAUAUGAAGUCCUGUGCACUCUCUCAGGUUGUGGCUGAGAACCAGGUUGAUAAUGUGCUUGGUACUGGGGUUGAAGCCAAGGGGAAUUACAAUACCAUGCAUCAGGCAGGGUCUGCCACCGACGUGAGGGCUUCUGUUCAGCCUCAGAUUGUAACCAAGGCCCAGACUGAAGCCAUGCGUGGGGCAAUGGCUGAUGUUGGGAGUAAUGCCAAUGUCAUGUAUAAAGCAGGGGUGGGGGCAGAUAUGAAUAUUUCUAUACAAUCUCAGACUGUGAUCCAGAGACAGGCUGAGACAAUGUCUGGUGCUAGGGUUGAUGAUAGGGGAAAUAUCAAUGUCAUAUAUAGGGCAAUGACUGGAGCUGACAUGUGGGCUUCUGCUCAGCUUCAAGCUGUAGCCAGUGCUCAGGCUGAGGCUAUGCUUGAUGCCAGGGUUAUGGGUAGAGUAAAUCCCAAUUCCAUAUCUAAGGUGGGGUUUGGGAUAGACAUUGAGUCCUAUACACAGUAUCAGCCUACAGCCACGGUCCAGGCUGAUGCUUUGCUUGAUGACAAGAUUAAGGCUCAGGGCAAUGCCAACACCAAGUCUAAAGAAGAGGCUGGGACAGACACAAAGGCACAGUCUCAGACUUCUACCAAGAGCUACGCUGAGGCUCUACCUAGUACUAGAGGUAAAUCUAGGGGCAAAGCCAAAGGCAAGUGCAAAGCAGGGGUUGGGACAGAUGUGAAAACCUGUGUGCAGCCUCAAGGUGGGGCCAAGACCCAAGUUGAUGUUCUCCCUGAUUCCAGGGUUGAUGGCAGGGGUGAUCCUGAUGCCAUGUCUAUGGUAGAGGCCAAGGCAGAACCCAGGGCUGGUGGUCAGCCUCAGGAUAUGGCCGGUUCCCAGGGUGAAGCCAUGCCUGGUGCCAAGAAUAAGGUUCAGGACUACCUCAAUACUAUAUCUAAGUCAGGGGCUGGGCUACAUACAAAGAGCUCUGCCCAGCCUCAGGCUAUGACCAAUACCCAGGGUGAGGCCUUAGCUGGUGUCAAGAAUAAGGUUCGGGGCAAUCCCAAUGCUGUGUCUAAGGCAGGGACUGGGCCAGACACAAAAUUUGACUCUGCCCAGCUUCAAGCAGAUACAAUUGGCUCUCCUCAGCCCCAGGGUGUGGCCAGUUUCCAGGGUGAAGUUUCACCUGGAACCAAGAAUAAGGUCCGGGGCAAUCCCAAUGCUGUGUCUAAAGUAUGGACGGGGACAGAUACAAAGAGUUCUGCCCAGCCCCAGGCUACAGCCAAUUUCCAGGGGUGAGGCCUUGCCUAGUGUCAAGAAUAAAGUUCGGGGCAAUCCCAAUGCUGUGUCUAAGGCAGGGACUGGGCCAGACACAAAAUUUGACUCUGCCCAGCCUCAAGUGGAUACUAUAGGCUCUGCUCAGACCCAGGCUGUGGUCAAUUUCCAGGGUGAAGCCUCAUCUGGAACUAAGAAUAAGGUCAGGGGCAAUCUCAGUGCUGUGUCUAAAGUAUGGACUGGGUCAGAUACAAAGGGCUCUGCCCAGCCACGAACAGAUACAACAGGCUCUGCUCAGCCUCAGGCUGUGGCCUGUUCCUGGGGUGAAUCCUUGCCUGCUACGAAGAAUAAGGUCCGGGGCAAUCCCAGUGCUAUGUCUAAAGUAGGGUCUGGGCCAGAUACAACAUGUUCUGCCCAGCCUCAAACAGAUACAACAAACACUGCCCAGCCCCAAGCAGUGGCCAAUUCUCAGGGUGAGGUCUUGCUUGGUGCCAAGAGUAAGGUCAGGGGUAAUCCCAACGAUGUGUCCAAGGCAGAGUCUGGAACAGAUAUAAUGGGCUCUGCUCGGUCCCAAGCUGAAGCCUUAUCUGGUGCCAGAAAUAAGGUUCGGGGCAAUCUCAGUGCUGUGUCUAAGGUAGGGCCUGGGUCAGAUACAAAGAGCUCUUCCCAUCCCCAGUCUGCAGCCACUUCCCAGGGUGAGGCCUUGUGUGGUAUUAAGAACAAGGUCCGGGGAAAUCCCAGUGCUGUGUCUAAGGCAGGGUCUAGGCCUGAUACAAAGGGCUCUGCCCAUCCCCAAGCUGUAGCCAAUUCCCAAGGUGAGGCCUUGAGUGGUACUAAGAAUAAGGUCCGGGGCAAUUCCAAUGCUGUGUCUAAGGCAGGAACUGGGUCAGAUACAAUAGACCCUGCCCAGCCUCCAACAGAUAAAACAAGCUCUGCUCAGUCCCAGGCUGUGGCCUGUUCCCAGGGUGAGGUCUUGCUUGGUGCCAGGAGUAAGGUCAGGGGCAAUCCCAAUGCUGUGUCUAAGGCAGGGAUUGGAGCAGAUUCAAUAGGCUCUGCCCCAUCCCAAGCUGUGGCCAGUUCCCAUGGUGAGGCCUUGCUUGGUGCCAGGAGUAAGGUCAGGGGCAAUCGUGUGACUGAGUCUAAGGCAGAGGCUGGAGCAGCUCUGAUGGGCUCUGGCCAGCGUCAGUCUGUGACCCAUUCCCAAAGUAAGUCUGGCGCAAAGGACAAGACUAUACAUAAGUCUGAGGCAGAAGCCACAGGAGAUGUCUCUGUAAAGCCCAAGGCUAAGGCCACACCCACUUCUGAGAGUGAGGAUGGGGCAGACACUCAGGCCUGCAGGAAGUCUCAACCUAAGGUCCACGACUACUACUGGAGUGGUAUUGGUGUUGAGGACUGGAUUGCUUCUGAGCGAUGGAUCAAAUUUAGGUUUCAGGCUAGGGAUGGAUACUGGGAGAAUAGCAUGUCCUGGGCUGAUGAUGAGAAUGAAACCAGUGUUGAGUCCUGGAGUGGGGCUCGGAGUGAGAAUGAGGUUGGUAUUCAGUCUUGGGCUGGAGUUGGGGACCAGGCCAGUGGGGGCGUCUGGGCUGGGAGUCAUGCCAGUCAACAGUCCUGGGCUGGAGGCCAGGCCAGUGGAGGUUACUGGGUAGAGACUGGGGACAAGGCUGUUGGAGGGUCCUGGACUGUGGCUGAGAACCAGGCAAGUGGGGGUUCUUGGGCUGGCACUGGGAACCAGGCCGUUGGGGUUCCCUGGGCUGGAGCUCAGGCCAGUGAGAGUUCUUGGGCUGGGGGCCAGACCAGUGGGGUAUCCUGGGCUGGGGGAGAGGCCAUUGGAGUGUCCUGGACUGUGGUUGAGAACCAGGCCAAUGGAGUGUCCUGGGCUGGGGCUCAGGAACAGGCCAGUGGAAGGUCCCAGGAUGGGACUGGGAUUCAGGCUAAUGCAGGGCCCUGGGCUCAGGCUACAACUGGGAAUGUGGUUAAUAUUGGGUACUGGGCUGUGGCUGUGGACCAGGCUACUGGUGGGUCCUGGAUUCUGACUAGUGAUCUGUCUGGUGGUGCGUCCUGGGUUGGGACUAGUGAUCUGUCUGGUGCUAUAUCUAAGCCUAGACUUCAGGAUCAGGCCCAUGAAAGUGUGUCCUGGGCUGGGGCUGGGCUCGGUCCUGAAGGCCAGUCCAGUGGAAGGGUCUGGGCUGGCACCACAGACCAAGCCAGUGGAGGGUCCAGGCUGGGGCCUGUGGAUCAGUCCAGCAGUGGGUCCUGGGUUAUGGCUGGAGAACAGGCCAGUGAAGGGUCUAGGCCAGGGUUUGCAGACCAGUCCAGUGUUGGGUCCUGGGCUGGCACUGGGAACCAGGCCAGUGAAGGAUUCUUGGUUGGAGCUGUGGAUCAGGCCAGUGGAGGUUCAUGGACUGGGACUGUUGAUCAGUCUGGUGGUGGGGCUAAGCCUAGAUUUGAGGAUCAAGUCGGUGAAGAAGGAUCUUUGGCUAGUGCCGGUGGCCAGGCUGGUGGAGGGUCCAGGUCACGGCCAGAAGACCAGUCCAGUGGAGGGUCCUGGGCUGACUCUGUGGACCAAACCAGUAGAGGGUUCUUGGUUGGGGCUGUGGACCAGGCCAAUGAAGUGUCCUGGGCCGAACCUGGACAUCAGGCUGGUGGUGAGGCAAAGCUUAGAUCUGAGGAUCAGGCCAAAUCUGGAAAUGUGUCUUGGGCUGAUAGUGGAGGCCAGGUUAGUGGAGGUUCUACAUUGGUGCCCAGGGACCAGUCUGUUGGAGAUUCCUGGGCUGGCAUUGGGGACCAGGCCAGUGGAGGACCAAGGCCAGUGCCUGAGGCUCAGUCUACUGGAUGGUACUAUGCUUACAGUGGGAAUCAUGCUAGUGUAGGAGGGUCCUGGGCUGGGGCUGGUGGUCAGGUCAUUGGAGGACUUGGGCUAGGACUCAUGAACCCAUCCAGUGGUGGGUCCUGGGCUGUUACUGGGAAUCAGGUCAGUGGAGCAUCUUGGGCUGGGGCUGUGGGUCAGGCUGUUAGCUGUUCCAAACCUGGAUUUGAAGAUCAGGCCAGUGCAGGAGCAUUUUGGUCUGGCACAGAGGACCAGGCCACUGGAGGGUCUAGUCCAACGUCUGCAGGUCAGUCAGAUCAGUCCAGUGGCGGGUCUUGGGCUGGUGCUGGGAGUCAGACCAGUGGGAAGUCCUGGGUUGUGGCUGGUGAUCAAGCUAGUAGCUGUUCCAAACCUGGAUUUGAAGAUAAGGCCAGUGCAGGAGCAUUCUGGUCUGGCACAGAGGACCAGGCCACUGGAGGGUAUAGUCCAGCAUCUGCAGAUCAGUCAGAUCAGCCCAGUGGUGGGUCCUGGGCUGGUGGUGGGAGUCAGGCCAGUGGGCAGUCCUGGGUUGUGGCUGGUGAUCAGGCUGGUAGGUGUUCCAAACCCGGAUUUGAAGAUCAGGCCAGUGCAGGAGCAUUCUGGUCUGGCACAGAGGACCAGGCCACUGGAGGGUAUAGUCCAGCAUCUGCAGAUCAGUCAGAUCAGCCCAGUGGUGGGUCCUGGGCUGGUGGGGGGAGUCAGGCCAGGGGGCAGUCCUGGGUUGUGGCUGGUGAUCAGGCUGGGAGCUGUUCCAAACCCGGAUUUGAAGAUCAGGCCAGUGCAGGAGCAUUCUGGGCUGGUGUUGAGGACCAGGCCACUGGAGGGUCUAGUCCAGGGGCUGCAGAUCAGCCCAGUGGCGGGUCCUGGGCUGGUGGGGGGAGUCAGGCCAGUGGGCAGUCCUGGGUUGUGGCUGGUGAUCAGGCUGGUAGGUGUUCCAAACCCGGAUUUGAAGAUCAGGCCAGUGGAGGGGCGUUCUGGUCUGGUGUUGAGGACCAGGCCACUGGAGGGUCUAGUCCCGGGUCUGCAGAUCAGCCCAGUGGUGGGUCGUGGGCUGGUGGUGGGAGUCAGGCCAGGGGGCAGUCCUGGGUUGUGGCUGGUGAUCAUGCUGGGAGCUGUUCCCAACCUGGAUUUGAAGAUCAGGCCAGUGGAGGAGCAUUUUGGUCUGGUGCUGAGGAUCAGGCCCCUGGAGGGUCUAGUCCAGGGUCUGCAGAUCAGCCCAGUGGUGGGACCUGGGCUGGUGGUGGGAGUCAGGCCAGGGGGCAGUCCUGGGUUGUGGCUGGUGAUCAGGCUGGUAGCUGUUCCAAACCUGGAUUUGAAGAUCAGGCCAGUGGAGGAGGCUCCUGGGCUGGCAGUGGGGAUCAGGCUGGUAGAAAAUCAUGGGCUGGGUCUAGGCCUGGGAAGGAAGCCGGUAGAAGGUCUAGCUUGGGGCCUGACGAGCAAGCAAGUGGAGGGUCCUGGGCUAGGGCUAGAGACCAGACCAGUGGAAGGUCUCAGGUAAGUGCUAGGAUGGAGGCCAAUGAAGGAUCCUGGCUUGGGGCUGGGAGUGAGGCUAGUACAGGAUCCUGGUUCUGGAGAGGGGAAGAGUCUGGUAUUGUGUCUAGUCCUGGAGGUAAAAAUGAAGCCAGUAUUGAAUCCAGCUCAGGGGUUGGGGAAGAGGCUGUCAUUAGUUCCAGAUUCAGGGCUGAGAACAAGGCCAAUAUUGGGUGCUGGAUCAGAUCUAAUGAAGCCACCUGUAUGGAUUCCUGUUUGGGGGCUGAGUCUGGGACUGAGGUCAGGCAGGAGUCUUGGCUCUGGGAUGGAGAUGCAGCCACUACAGGGUCUAGGCUUGGGGCUGGGGAAGAGGCUGACAUGGGGUCCUGGACUUUGGCUGAGGAUGUAGAUGAGGAUGAGGUAAGUAGAGCAUCUAGCCCUGAUAUCGAGGAGAUCAGUUUAAGGUCAUUGUUUUGGGCUGAGAGUGAGAACAGUAAUGAAUUCAGAUCCAAUCGUGAGAAAAAUGUCAAUUUUCAGCAGGGGGCUGAAAAUAAGACCAGCACCAAGGAUAAGCUUGAGGCUGCUGGUGGAGUUGAUGUAAAGUCUUGUUUCUGGGAUAGUAAUGAAAACAAAAGUGAGGGAAAAUGUGUACCUAAGACUAAAGCCAAAAAGUCAGCAGAAUCAAGAGUCACAUAUCCAUCCAUGGUUCCUGGGGCAGGAAUGGGGUCAUGGGCAGGAGCAAUGAUCUGGACAGAAAUGAAAUUUCCAUACCAAAAUGAGUCUUGCUUCCCACCUGAAGAUGAGCUCAGAAAGCAGAUCAGAUCUGGGGAGAAAAUUCAGCCCUGGGCCUGCCGCUGUAAACGUGAAACUAACAUGGAUCCACAAGAGCUUGAAAAACUUAUUUGCAUGAUUGAGAUGACUGAAGAUCCUUCUAUUCAUGAAAUAGCCAAUAAUGCUCUAUAUAACAGUCCUGAUUACCCAUUUUCCCAUGAAGUCAUUCGUAAUGCAGGUAGAAUCUCAAUUAUUGAAGGCUUGCUCAAUAACCCCUACCCCAGUGUUAGGCAGAAGGCUUUAAAUGCACUGAAUAAUAUCUCGGUGGCUGCUGAAAAUCAUCGGAAGGUUAAAACAUACUUAAACCAAGUAUGUGAAGACACUAUCACCUAUCCCCUGAAUUCAAAUGUGCAGCUGGCUGGACUGAGAUUGAUAAAGCACCUGACUAUUAUUAGUGAAUAUCAGCAUAUGGUUACAAAUUACAUUUCAGAAUUUCUUCGUUUGUUAACCGUGGGAAGUGGAGAAACUAAAGACCAUAUUUUGGGAAUGCUUUUAAAUUUCUCUAAAAAUCCAUCUAUGACAAAAGACUUGCUCAUUGCCAAUGCACCAGCAUCACUGAUUAAUAUUUUUAGCAAGAAAGAGACAAAGGAGAAUAUUCUUAAUGCUCUUUCACUAUUUGAAAAUAUAAAUUACCAUUUUAAAAGAAGAGCAAAAGUAUUUACCCAGGACAAGUUCAGUAAAAAUUCCCUUUAUUUCGUAUUCCAGCGGCCUAAAGCAUGUGCCAAGAAACUUCGAGUCUUAGCAGCAGAAUACAAUGACCCUGAGGUGAAAGAAAGAGUUGAGCUAUUAUUAAGUAAACUCUAAUUAGUUGUAGUUUUCCAAACAAAUUUGAGUAAUAUUGUGGUUUUGCAGCCUGGAGGUAAUGCACAUUGUAAAUUGCAUUAUAACUUCUAAACUGAUGUUGCUUCUGAUGGUCUAUAGCUGGACCAUUUUAUGAACACCAAAUGAAUUCAAACUUGUACUGAAAAUACGUGUUGAUUUUUUACCUUGUCUGGAUUGAGAUAUUUUUGGUAUGCUUCAUGAGCAGAAACUGAACUGAUUUUUCAUAAGUAAGGUUAUCUUUGGUCCUUUGUGUGGACUUAUGUUUAUACAUUUGAGACUUUAUUUUUAUGUCAUCAAUAAAGUUGUGUGUUUU